This is a long non-coding RNA of Nerophis ophidion (straightnose pipefish), 757 nucleotides long. RefSeq lists it as uncharacterized. Lineage: Eukaryota; Metazoa; Chordata; Actinopteri; Syngnathiformes; Syngnathidae. The record is from RefSeq and is a predicted model, not a curated record. The transcript is spliced from 9 exons.
CCUGAAGGCGCAGAUAAAUACGAACCGGACACGGAUGUUCCUCCUUUCGGGCUCGACGACGAGAGGAGAAGGACGGAGUGUCGAGCUCCUCCAUUUUCAAUCGCGGCAUAGCGAUGACUUUUCGGCGGUUUGUCGACUCGAUGACCAGUGUUUCGUUACGAAGCACUGUUGAAGAAUGUCGUCUUCAAAACUGGGCGUCAAACCGGCUAAGGAUGGGACAAAACACAUGAUGGGACAACCUUCCCUUGGUUUACCCUUUGCAAGAUAAGCAACAAGGCACAACAUGAGCAUCUGCUUCGUCCUGUAUCUGAUGCUUGGCAGCAGUAAUGGAUGGAAAACGUGAACAAUUACUUCAUGUCUUUGAUAAGCAACCAGGCACAACAUGAGCAUCUGCUUCGUCCUGUAUCUGAUGCUUGGCAGCACUAAUGGAUGGAAAACGUGAACAAUUACUUCAUGUCUUUGAUGGGCAGCAAUAAUCAACCAACGGACAAAAAUGUCUACUUCAUCAUAAUUAUAGAUGAGGAAAGAGGGCGUCACAGUUUCCCAAUUAGAAAUGCCAAGUGUCAUGUCAAGUAGUGAUGAGUUCACCUUUUUGCUGUGAACCAAUCAGAACAGACUGCUGAACUCAAAACACCAGUAUAAUGCAAACUGAUGGUCACCUUUGACUUUGAAGAAACUCAUUUAAGCAUACAGUUGGACCUGUAUAAAGCUGCUAUUUGGACUGCUUUCCAGACAAAUAAAACAUUUACAAAAUCUA